This 1465-nucleotide long non-coding RNA is filed under the name Helianthus annuus (common sunflower). Its description in RNAcentral is "hypothetical non coding rna". Lineage: Eukaryota; Viridiplantae; Streptophyta; Magnoliopsida; Asterales; Asteraceae. The record is from RNAcentral.
GCACCUGAAAAUAGUGGUUGCAAAGAAGUGGGAAAUUCACAAAAAUCCAUCGAAAAGCAAACGAAUGGAGGAUAGAAGUUCGAUUUUUAUCCGUCAAGUUAGGUUUUGGUGAAGCCGAAGGAGCUGAACUACAGGCGGAUACCAAAGGGCUUGUAGCAUAGCGAUAUAAAGUUGUCUACUAAAGGCGUUCAAAGUGGUUGAGGAUUCUUGUCCCUUGGUGGACGUUGGUGUAGAUCUAGGAGUAGGUCUAGAGGGUUUGUGAGUUGGACGGUUUAAAAACAUGAGGUAAAUGCCUGAACCAACGUCCGUUGGUGUCUAUGAGGAUGAUAACGUGGUCCUAGAGUAAAAUGGUAACAAUGUCAAGAAAGCAGGGCUCCAUUCAACGCUUGCUUCACUCCUCGAUGAUCAUGUGCUUGCAGAUAUACCAAAGAAACCAACUCUAUCAGAUGUUGACACCCUCAUCAGCUUGGAACUUGGGAGUGCACAUCUUUUGAUGUUGCUGUGAUGAAUUCUGCUACACUUAAGGAUUUGAAACUAGCCGUCGAGAAAAAAUCCAAUGAAAUAGAGCAGUCAAAGAUGGGCCAUCGCCAUAUUUCUUGGGAUGCACGAAGAUCAUUGAUCUAACACAAACCCCAUAUCAACCUUGUUUGUUAAUCGUCUGCUGUUGACGGAAGUCAAUCGGAGGUGAAGAACUAAGUUGUCGGCCGGAGGUGAUGAGAGAUGGUAAUCGGUGGUCGAUUGAUCGGCGCGGUGCUUAUCGGAGGUGAAUAGAGUGGUUGCCGUGGUGGAAAUUGUCGACAAAAGGAAUGAAGGACCGUGGUGGAGGUGUUUUCCGGCGGUCGGAGAUGAUAAAAGUUGAUCAGUGGUCGUGUACAGAGAGAUGGUCGUCGGCAGUGUGAUGGGGUAAUCGGAGGUGGGUAGUGUGAUAGAUGAUGGUGGAGGUUAGUCUAUUGUGGGUGACGGUGGAUAUGGUGGUCGAUCGGAGGGUGAGUCGUGAUUGUUAUUCGACGGUGGGGUAGUGGUGAUUGUUGGUCAGAAAAAGGUGGAUGGAUGGUGGUUGAUGUCCUCGGUGGCGGAGUUGUUCCUAAUGGGGCAUCAAUGUGAAGAAAAACUGGGGCAAAAGACAGGAAGACAGGGACUGAACAGCCAAAUUGGGGAAGAAGACGGGGACUGAAUAGAGGUGCACACGUGUCAAAAGGUGAGUGGUUGCUGAGGAAAGCUCUUUUAAGCCGUGUCGAAACUCGUGCAAAGGCCCGUGGAGUCGUUUCAGUUGGCCAUUUUUGAAAAAUUGAUCAUUCAAUGGCUAUUUUGGUAAUUAUCCCUUAUGAAUUUGUGUUGGAAACUGAUAAAGUAAAAAACAAUACGCGCGUCAUAGCUGGUUGGGUUUGGUUUCAUUUUUAGGUUAUUUUGUAUGAUUAAUCUGUUUGACCCGUUAUCAAUCAUAUCCAAUCCGUAUUAACAGGUU